GAUGAAGAACGUAGCGAAAUGCGAUAAGUAGUGUGAAUUGCAGAAUUCAGUGAAUCAUCGAAUCUUUGAACGCACAUUGCGCCCCUUGGUAUUCCAUGGGGCAUGCCUGUUCGAGCGUCAUCUACACCCUCAAGCCCCCGGGUUUGGUGUUGGGGAUCGGCUCUGCCCUUCUGGGCGGUGCCGCCCCCGAAAUACAUUGGCGGUCUCGCUGCAGCCUCCAUUGCGUAGUAGCUAACACCUCGCAACUGGAACGCGGCGCGGCCAUGCCGUAAAACCCCAACUUCUGAAUGUUGACCUCGGAUCAGGUAGGAAUACCCGCUGAACUUAAGCAUAUCAAUAAGCGGAGGA
Molecule: unclassified non-coding RNA, 348 nt
Filed under: soil metagenome
Description: partial contains 5.8S ribosomal RNA, internal transcribed spacer 2, and large subunit ribosomal RNA
Rfam family: 5.8S ribosomal RNA (bases 1-120)
Source: RNAcentral